Molecule: ribosomal RNA, 253 nt
Filed under: uncultured bacterium
Lineage: Bacteria
Description: partial 16S ribosomal RNA
Rfam family: Bacterial small subunit ribosomal RNA
Source: RNAcentral
UACGUAGGCAGCGAGCGUUGUUCGGAGUUACUGGGCGUAAAGAGUGCGUAGGCGGUUUUCUAAGUUUGGUGUGAAAUCUCCCGGCUUAACUGGGAGGGUGCGCCGAAAACUGGAAGGCUUGAGUAUGGGAGAGGUAAGCGGAAUUCCUGGUGUAGCGGUGAAAUGCGUAGAUAUCAGGAGGAACACCUGUGGCGAAAGCGGCUCACUGGACCACAACUGACGCUGAGGCGCGAAAGCUAGGGGAGCAAACAGG